UUUCCCGCUAGAUGCACGUUGUUCGUUUUGCGUAAAUAACGUGGCGCAUUCUUGUGUUAAUUAUUUUUAAUCUAUUGAAGCUAUUUUGGAAUCAGCAAACUUGCUCUAGCGAUGCUGCCUGGCUCAGUGAGAUAUGCACAAGUUGCAAAUUAACAAUUCGCAUAUCCGCACCGGGUUAUCCGGAGAAAAAUGUAAUCUCAGGCUGUGGAUUUUUUUCUAGUUACGACCGUACUAUGAGUAGUACAAACGAGUAUGAGUGUUCGUUAGCAGAUGAAUCCAGGUGAAUGUUUGAGUUUGACUAUUUCACUUUGUCCUCCACUGCAAAAGUAGGCUCAAACCCAACAAACAACCAGAUUGGAAAUGGCUUUGGUCUAGCUAAAAGGAUGAACAGAGAGGAUGGUAUGAAAAGAUUUCGAGCGAUGGCUGUGACUAAACAACACAAAGUGUCCACAGAUGGAUAAUUAAAUUACUCUUCGAAAAUUAUUUCUAUGUAUUAUUUUUCUAGGAUGAAGCGAGAUCUCAAAUGCCACACACAGAUUAGACAACACUGAUCGUUCGCGUAUUGGUAUUUUAGAGUGGAUAAUAGAACAAUACGAGGUUUUAUGGAAUACUGCUCAAAAAUGGAAUUUAAAAUUAUUCUAAUAUUUGGCGUAUCUUAAUUUGAAUUAAAGGCACUGAAGCUACGUCAUUUAAACUUCAGUAAAAAAAGAACGAUCAAAACGGGGCCAGACAAUAACGCGUGUUGAUUAUUUUUCGGGAAGAAUAACAUUAAAUAAAAAGUAUUCAGUUAAAGUUGCGAUUAAUCGAAUCCGAAUUGCCGGACCUAUCAUUUAACAUUAACAUCGUUCACUUCGUACGCCGCGGAAAUCCAAUUUGUCUUUGAUUACCUACUUCUCACUUCAAACAGUUUUUUAGGUUAGCUUCAGGUUCCACUUAGCUUCAGUCGUCUAUCACCACACAAUCGAACUUCGUCAGCAUCGUCGUGUACAUCCUCCGGUAUCGUGUUUUGACAGUUUUGUUUUAUUAAUCAUCGCAAUUUAGAGCCUUUUUCCUUUUAAGAAGUUGACAAUUCGGCUGUUUUUAGCUCGAUGCACGAUUGUUGACGGUAUGUUGACAUGAAGGGGCUUCUGGCACCGUCCCCGAUGUAAGCUCUCUAGUGAUAUACCAACGUUCCCUAAACACUUUUGAUACAGGGAUGACGGUUGAUUUGGCCACUUUCUUCUACUAGAAUAUCAUCGAAUCAUCGCACACAAAAUGAAGGAUUUGUGGAUUUUUUUAGGUUAACUAAAUUUUGGAAGUUAAACUCCCAGUAAUUUAAAUUCACUGUUCUCAAAGAGCUGAUAAACAAA
Long non-coding RNA from Wyeomyia smithii (pitcher-plant mosquito), 1349 nucleotides. RefSeq lists it as uncharacterized. Lineage: Eukaryota; Metazoa; Arthropoda; Insecta; Diptera; Culicidae. The record is from RefSeq and is a predicted model, not a curated record. The transcript is spliced from 4 exons.